AACGAACGCUGGCGGCAUGCCUAACACAUGCAAGUCGAACGAGACCUUCGGGUCUAGUGGCGUACGGGUGCGUAACGCGUGGGAAGCUGCCCUUAGGUUCGGAAUAACUCCCCGAAAGGGGUGCUAAUACCGGAUAAUGUCUUCUGACCAAAGAUUUAUCGCCUUUGGAUGGGCCCGCGUUGGAUUAGCUAUUUGGUAGGGUAAAAGCCUACCAAGGCGAGGAUCCAUAGCUGGUCUGAGAGGAUGAUCAGCCACACUGGGACUGAGACACGGCCCAGAAUCCUCCGGGAGGGAGCAGUGGGGAAUAUUGGACCAUGGGCGAAGGCCUGAUCCAGCAAUGCCGCGUGAGUGCUGAAGGCCUUAGGGUUGUAAAGCUCUUUUAACCGGGAUGAUAAUGACAGUACCGGGAGAAUAAGCUCCGGCUAACUCCGUG
This 433-nucleotide ribosomal RNA is filed under the name uncultured bacterium. RNAcentral describes it as "partial 16S ribosomal RNA". It matches the Rfam family "Bacterial small subunit ribosomal RNA", at positions 29 to 507 of the family's 1533-position model. The record is from RNAcentral.